CCGGUACUCGUUAAGGCUGAGCUGUGAUGGGGAGAAGACAUUGUGUCUUCGAGUCGUUGAUUUCACACUGCCGAGAAAAGCCUCUAGAUAGAAAAUAGGUGCCCGUACCGCAAACCGACACAGGUAGUCAAGAUGAGAAUUCUAAGGUGAGCGAGCGAACUCUCGUUAAGGAACUCGGCAAAAUGACCCCGUAACUUCGGGAGAAGGGGUGCUCUUUAGGGUUAACGCCCAGAAGAGCCGCAGUGAAUAGGCCCAAGCGACUGUUUAUCAAAAACACAGGUCUCUGCUAAACCGUAAGGUGAUGUAUAGGGGCUGACGCCUGCCCGGUGCUGGAAGGUUAAGAGGAGUGGUUAGCUUCUGCGAAGCUACGAAUCGAAGCCCCAGUAAACGGCGGCCGUAACUAUAACGGUCCUAAGGUAGCGAAAUUCCUUGUCGGGUAAGUUCCGACCCGCACGAAAGGCGUAACGAUUUGGGCACUGUCUCAACGAGAGACUCGGUGAAAUCAUAGUACCUGUGAAGAUGCAGGUUACCCGCGACAGGACGGAAAGACCCCGUGGAGCUUUACUGUAGCCUGAUAUUGAAAUUCGGCACAGCUUGUACAGGAUAGGUAGGAGCCUUUGAAACGUGAGCGCUAGCUUACGUGGAGGCGCUGGUGGGAUACUACCCUAGCUG
Molecule: ribosomal RNA, 672 nt
Filed under: Staphylococcus aureus
Lineage: Bacteria; Bacillati; Bacillota; Bacilli; Caryophanales; Staphylococcaceae
Description: partial 23S ribosomal RNA
Rfam family: Bacterial large subunit ribosomal RNA
Source: RNAcentral